RNAcentral lists this ribosomal RNA (492 nucleotides) under uncultured bacterium. Its description in RNAcentral is "partial 16S ribosomal RNA". It matches the Rfam family "Bacterial small subunit ribosomal RNA", at positions 29 to 507 of the family's 1533-position model. The record is from RNAcentral.
AGUGAACGCUGGCGGUAGGCCUAACACAUGCAAGUCGAACGGCAGCACAGUAAGAGCUUGCUCUUACGGGUGGCGAGUGGCGGACGGGUGAGGAAUGCAUCGGAAUCUACCUUUUCGUGGGGGAUAACGUAGGGAAACUUACGCUAAUACCGCAUACGACCUACGGGUGAAAGCAGGGGAUCUUCGGACCUUGCGCGAUUGAAUGAGCCGAUGUCGGAUUAGCUAGUUGGCGGGGUAAAGGCCCACCAAGGCGACGAUCCGUAGCUGGUCUGAGAGGAUGAUCAGCCACACUGGAACUGAGACACGGUCCAGACUCCUACGGGAGGCAGCAGUGGGGAAUAUUGGACAAUGGGCGCAAGCCUGAUCCAGCCAUACCGCGUGGGUGAAGAAGGCCUUCGGGUUGUAAAGCCCUUUUGUUGGGAAAGAAAAGCAGCAGGUUAAUACCCCGCUGUUCUGACGGUACCCAAAGAAUAAGCACCGGCUAACUUCGUG